UACGUAGGCAGCGAGCGUUGUUCGGAUUUACUGGGCGUAAAGCGUGCGUAGGCGGUGUCUUAAGUUUGUUGUGAAAUCUCCCGGCUUAACCGGGAGGGUGCGGCGAAUACUGAGAUGCUGGAGUGCCGGAGAGGUAAGCGGAAUUCCUGGUGUAGCGGUGAAAUGCGUAGAUAUCAGGAGGAACACCUGCGGUGUAGACGGCUUACUGGACGGUAACUGACGCUGAGGCACGAAAGCGUGGGGAGCAAACAGG
This 253-nucleotide ribosomal RNA is filed under the name uncultured bacterium. RNAcentral describes it as "partial 16S ribosomal RNA". It matches the Rfam family "Bacterial small subunit ribosomal RNA", at positions 524 to 776 of the family's 1533-position model. The record is from RNAcentral.